AAAAAAAAUACAAAUCCCGUCGUUUAAUAAAUUAAUUGGCGGUAGCUUUUCCCCCAACCCCCACUACCUCCUCUAAAAAAGAAACAUUACCCUUCUUUCAAAAAACACUUCUUCCCUAGAAACUACCGUCUGCUCUCAUCCAGAACUUGCAAUUGCUAUCAAGAGUAAAUUUUUGGUAGAAGAAAUAACUGAUCGUCACCCUCGUCGGCAUCAAUUUCUCAUCUUAGAGUUCCUUCUCAUCAAGGUAAGGUUAAAAAAUGAUCUUUUUACAUGUUAAUUUUGGUCAAAUUAGUAGGGUUGUGAUUGCACUUGUAACUAAAUGGAUGUUGGAUUUGCUUUGUUGAAGAAGAAUCAGAAUAAUACCCUACUCAUUCUCCAUCACAGCCAAAAAAAUACAGCGAAAAUAUUUGCUUCUCAAAUCUUAAAGUACGAGCAACCAAAGAAACUGAAAGAGUUUUAACUGCUUCAAAAACAAAGCUUGUGUGCAAAUUUUAAUGUGACACUAAUUAAUAAGCUUAAUUAGGAUAAGAAUUAUAAAAUCAAACAAUGAGUAUUGUAAUUUGUAAGUGAUACGAAUCUUACUAGAGUUUCUAUUAAUUUGCCUUUGGUAUUUAUCCUUGAAAAUGUCAUCCCUUCUUUUAUUUUCUUUUAUCAUUGUUAAAUUACACUUUCAGAAUUUUAUAAAUAUCAAAUUUGGGAUAUCUUUGUUUUCCUAAUACGCAAAUUAGCUAUUAAUAACUUGGUUUACAAAAUUCAUUUAUUUUCCAAUUAGUUUCUAAAAAGUUAGGCGAAGAAAUCUCUUUGCCUGAAAGUUGUAUAGUGGUGCUGAAGGUGGAAGUUUCAUAGUAAUUUGCAUAGUGUUGGGUGCUACCAUAUAAAAUAUAUCUAUUGAGUUUUAAGUAUUUGCUUGGAGGGUUCGAGUUUUUAUACAACAACAACAACAUACCCAGUGAAAUCUACAAGUGGAGUCUGGGAAGAGUAGAGUGUACGCAAACAAGUUUCUACCUUCAAAGGUAGGGAGGUUGUUUCCUAUAGAUCCUCAACUCAGAAAAAAAAAACAGUGUGUUUGAGUUUUUGUAUCACCAAAUUAUUGUGUUUCCAACAAUUUGUUGGAACAAAUUGUUUGAUGGUUUCUUAUGCUUUGUUUAAUUUGUUUUGUACAAUUUGUUUUGGAGAUCUUUUGUUUAGUAGUCAAGACUUAUGAAAAACUUACAUGCUAUAGGUUCUUUUUCCUCCUGUCUUUUUGUCUAUGCGGACAAGUUAAAGUUAAAUAGAAUUAGCAUUUUUCAAUGUCAUAAUUGGGCUAAAUAUAAAAUGUGUAUUUGCUUUUUACUCCAUCAGCUAUUUACAGUACCUACAAGGAAGAAAUCAAUGAAAUUGGUAGUAACAUAGGAAAGGGGAACACUUUUAGAUGUUUGAACUUCUAAACUUUCUAUCUAUCUUGCUUUGUCUACCUUUGAAGUGAAUGGCUCAAUUCUUUCAGUGUGCCCCUACAACGAUGGAUUAUAUUGUUCCUUGAUUUUUAUCUCAAACUUGGGAAUUUCUUAAAUCAAGGAAAGAUCUUUUCUUUGUUCAGAUUCAUUAUUUCGUAUCAAAAGAAAAACGAAAGAUCUUUACUUUGUAUAUAAUCCCCUGAGAUAACUGUCUGGAGCCUAAAUUUUAGAUCUAAAUUCUGCACCCUCUGAUUUUUUGAACGAAUUAUAUGGUUUACCUGGAAAGGUCGGGAUCCGUUCAUAAUGUGGUAUCAUCACCUUCUGCAUAUCUCUUAUUAUAUUCUCUUUGCUAGAUUUUACAUUGCUGCAUCUUUCUAAAAUCUGUCCCUUAUAUUUGUCAAUUUGUUAAGGCCACGCUAACUAGUUUCAUCAUACUAUUCCAUCUAUUUGAUCUCUAGCGUGAUUCACAAGAAUCUGAGGAGAUUGUAGCUCGAUGGCAUCAAAUUUCAACUGCAAAAGUUCGAUAAAUUGUUCUGUGACUAGCGAAUUAGUAAGCAUAAUUAGAUUAGGUAACCAUUGAAUUAAAAAAAGGUUUGAUAUGAAUACCUUGAUAUUAUCCAUUGCUAGAUUUUUUAUUUGAGAUGCUCCUCACGGUCGUCCUAAUGUUGAUAAAUAUAAAACUUCAUUUCUGCAAUUUCUACUCAAUACUAGUGAAUUUGUCGUUGAUUUGAGGUGCAGCUUUAGGUCAGCCUAAAUGGCCUUAUGGCAGUAUAUAGUAGACCUUUUUCUGCAAGGACUUGAUAAAUAUAGCAGAAAUGUAGGAAACAUCAAAAGUUGGUCAAUUAUUCAUUUCUUUCUUGAGUGUAGAACUAUGCGCAACAAAAUGUAAGAACGACUAAUGCCUUUAAAUAUUGUUUUCUUAGAGUUACUCUGAUGAGCUGUUUGUUAUGACAUACAUUUCACUGUUUCAGAUAAUAUUUUGCUUGAAUUGACCUGUAUACUUUUUUAAUGUUAUCUCUGACUUAUUUAACUAUCAAAGGUCUUUCUAGUUUUUUGGGUUGACGGCUUUGCAAUCAUCAACACUUGUUGGUGAUAGAUGUUCUUUCAUUGUAAAGAGGUUUCAGAAUUAUAGAUGUUACUAUUUCUUAAUUUUCAUAAGUCUUGAGGAGUGUUGAGUUGCAGUAGCUAAUUCAAAAUGUUUUUUCUGUUGUCAUGUCAUCCUACAUCAAAGCCAGAACAUCAUUAAACUACUCUUGAUUGUUGAUUGUCUUUCUCCUUUCAGUAAGCCUUUUGAACAUUUUUUUGAAUCAAUAAGAUAUUUCUUUUGUGAGGAAGUAGUAUUUUAUGAAGAUGGUGAGCCUGAGAUAGAUGGUGACCUGGAGACCUGAAGGUUUGACUUUUAUCCCAUGCUACACAAAAUGGACUUCAUUAUUAUGUAUGAUUUUCCUGUGACUUGUAUUCUGUCUUUAUUAUAUCUUUGUAUAGUUCUGCAUUCGCACAGCUCCUCAUGUCCGGAUACAGAGAGAAAGAAAUGACCUAUACACAACUGUUACUAUUAUUCUGAUCAUGAAUAUGAAGCCUGAAUAGCCUAUCCUCGAAGAAAGUGCAAAGCAAGUUAAAGUACAAGAAGUUGAUUAAGUUUUGUUAGGGGUGGUUUAAAGAUGUCUUAUGUACAUAUACUGGAAUUCUAUCCUCUCUUUCUAGGAGUUGAUAAAAAUAGUGUCAUACAAUUUGGAUGGAUACAAUUUUGGCAAUGUAAUGCUUUAGUUAUUUGUAUUGGCUGUGAAAUUUGAUAUAGUUAUUUUAUUAUUUGGUAUA
Molecule: long non-coding RNA, 3251 nt
Organism: Lycium barbarum (goji berry)
Lineage: Eukaryota; Viridiplantae; Streptophyta; Magnoliopsida; Solanales; Solanaceae
Exons: 2
Source: RefSeq, a predicted model, not a curated record